CCUUCGAUAGCUCAGUUGGUAGAGCGGAGGACUGUAGCGGGCGCUCCUCAGGCAUCCUUAGGUCGCUGGUUCGAAUCCGGCUCGAAGGA
This is a non-coding RNA of Ictidomys tridecemlineatus (thirteen-lined ground squirrel), 89 nucleotides long. The record is from Rfam. NCBI's taxonomy places the organism in Eukaryota, Metazoa, Chordata, Mammalia, Rodentia, Sciuridae.